UGCUGGAGGUAUCAGAAGUGCGAAUGCUGACAUAAGUAACGAUAAAGCGGGUGAAAAGCCCGCUCGCCGGAAGACCAAGGGUUCCUGUCCAACGUUAAUCGGGGCAGGGUGAGUCGACCCCUAAGGCGAGGCCGAAAGGCGUAGUCGAUGGGAAACGGGUUAAUAUUCCCGUACUUGGUGUUACUGCGAAGGGGGGACGGAGAAGGCUAUGUUGGCCGGGCGACGGUUGUCCCGGUUUAAGCGUGUAGGUGUGUGUUCCAGGUAAAUCCGGUUCACUUUAACACUGAGGCGUGACGACGAGGCACUACGGUGCUGAAGCAACAAAUGCCCUGCUUCCAGGAAAAGCCUCUAAGCAUCAGGUAACAUCAAAUCGUACCCCAAACCGACACAGGUGGUCAGGUAGAGAAUACCAAGGCGCUUGAGAGAACUCGGGUGAAGGAACUAGGCAAAAUGGUGCCGUAACUUCGGGAGAAGGCACGCUGACACGUAGGUGAAGUGAUUUACUCAUGGAGCUGAAGUCAGUCGAAGAUACCAGCUGGCUGCAACUGUUUAUUAAAAACACAGCACUGUGCAAACACGAAAGUGGACGUAUACGGUGUGACGCCUGCCCGGUGCCGGAAGGUUAAUUGAUGGGGUCAGCGCAAGCGAAGCUCCUGAUCGAAGCCCCGGUAAACGGCGGCCGUAACUAUAACGGUCCUAAGGUAGCGAAAUUCCUUGUCGGGUAAGUUCCGACCUGCACGAAUGGCGUAAUGAUGGCCAGGCUGUCUCCACCCGAGACUCAGUGAAAUUGAACUCGCUGUGAAGAUGCAGUGUACCCGCGGCAAGACGGAAAGACCCCGUGAACCUUUACUAUAGCUUGACACUGAACAUUGAGCCUUGAUGUGUAGGAUAGGUGGGAGGCUUUGAAGUGUGGACGCCAGUCUGCAUGGAGCCGACCUUGAAAUACCACCCUUUAAUGUUUGAUGUUCUAACGUGGACCCGUGAUCCGGGUUGCGGACAGUGUCUGGUGGGUAGUUUGACUGGGGCGGUCUCCUCCUAAAGAGUAACGGAGGAGCACGAAGGUUGGCUAAUCCUGGUCGGACAUCAGGAGGUUAGUGCAAUGGCAUAAGCCAGCUUGACUGCGAGCGUGACGGCGCGAGCAGGUGCGAAAGCAGGUCAUAGUGAUCCGGUGGUUCUGAAUGGAAGGGCCAUCGCUCAACGGAUAAAAGGUACUCCGGGGAUAACAGGCUGAUACCGCCCAAGAGUUCAUAUCGACGGCGGUGUUUGGCACCUCGAUGUCGGCUCAUCACAUCCUGGGGCUGAAGUAGGUCCCAAGGGUAUGGCUGUUCGCCAUUUAAAGUGGUACGCGAGCUGGGUUUAGAACGUCGUGAGACAGUUCGGUCCCUAUCUGCCGUGGGCGCUGGAGAACUGAGGGGGGCUGCUCCUAGUACGAGAGGACCGGAGUGGACGCAUCACUGGUGUUCGGGUUGUCAUGCCAAUGGCACUGCCCGGUAGCUAAAUGCGGAAGAGAUAAGUGCUGAAAGCAUCUAAGCACGAAACUUGCCCCGAGAUGAGUUCUCCCUGAGACUUUAAGUCUCCUGAAGGAACGUUGAAGACGACGACGUUGAUAGGCCGGGUGUGUAAGCGCAGCGAUGCGUUGAGCUAACCGGUACUAAUGAACCGUGAGGCUUAACCUUACAACGCCG
RNAcentral lists this ribosomal RNA (1685 nucleotides) under Salmonella enterica. RNAcentral's name for it is "partial 23S ribosomal RNA". It matches the Rfam family "Bacterial large subunit ribosomal RNA", at positions 1271 to 2925 of the family's 2925-position model. Lineage: Bacteria; Pseudomonadati; Pseudomonadota; Gammaproteobacteria; Enterobacterales; Enterobacteriaceae. The record is from RNAcentral.